GACAGUGGGGAAUAUUGCACAAUGGGGGAAACCCUGAUGCAGCGACGCCGCGUGGGUGAAGAAGUAUUUCGGUAUGUAAAGCCCUAUCAGCAGGGAAGAAAAUGACGGUACCUGAUCAAGAAGCCCCGGCUAACUACGUGCC
This 142-nucleotide ribosomal RNA is filed under the name uncultured bacterium. Its description in RNAcentral is "partial 16S ribosomal RNA". It matches the Rfam family "Bacterial small subunit ribosomal RNA", at positions 350 to 509 of the family's 1533-position model. The record is from RNAcentral.